UAAGGAAUAUUGGACAAUGGGCGAAAGCCUGAUCCAGCCAUGCCGCGUGAAGGAUUAAGGUCCUCUGGAUUGUAAACUUCUUUUAUUUGGGACGAAAAAAGGGAAUUCUUUCCCACUUGACGGUACCAAGUGAAUAAGCACCGGCUAACUCCGUGCCAGCAGCCGCGGUAAUACGGAGGGUGCAAGCGUUAUCCGGAUUCACUGGGUUUAAAGGGUGCGUAGGCGGGUAUGUAAGUCAGUGGUGAAAUCUCGGAGCUUAACUCCGAAACUGCCAUUGAUACUAUAUAUCUUGAAUAUUGUGGAGGUUUGCGGAAUAUGUCAUGUAGCGGUGAAAUGCUUAGAUAUGACAUAGAACACCUAUUGCGAAGGCAGCAGGCUACACAUAUAUUGACGCUGAGGCACGAAAGCGUGGGGAUCAAACAGGAUUAGAUACCCUGGUA
This 440-nucleotide ribosomal RNA is filed under the name uncultured bacterium. Its description in RNAcentral is "bacterial SSU rRNA". It matches the Rfam family "Bacterial small subunit ribosomal RNA", at positions 355 to 792 of the family's 1533-position model. The record is from RNAcentral.